GACGAACGCUGGCGGCGCGCUUAACACACGCAAGUCGAACGGAAAGGCCCUGCUUUUGUGGGGUGCUCGAGUGGCGAACGGGUGAGUAACACGUGAGUAACCUGCCCUUGACUUUGGGAUAACUUCAGGAAACUGGGGCUAAUACCGGAUAGGAGCUCCUGCUGCAUGGUGGGGGUUGGACAGUUUCGGCGGUUGGGGAUGGACUCGCGGCUUAUCAGCUUGUUGGUGGGGUAGUGGCUUACCAAGGCUUUGACGGGUAGCCGGCCUGAGAGGGUGACCGGCCACAUUGGGACUGAGAUACGGCCCAGACUGCUACGGGAGGCAGCAGUGGGGAAUAUUGAACAAUGGGCGGAAGCCUGAUGCAGCAACGCCGCGUGCGGGAUGACGGCCUUCGGGUUGUAAACCGCUUUCGCCUGUGACGAAGCGUGAGUGACGGUAAUGGGUAAAGAGGCACGGGCUAACUACGUG
This 468-nucleotide ribosomal RNA is filed under the name uncultured bacterium. RNAcentral's name for it is "partial 16S ribosomal RNA". It matches the Rfam family "Bacterial small subunit ribosomal RNA", at positions 28 to 507 of the family's 1533-position model. The record is from RNAcentral.